AGGGCAAGUCUGGUGCCAGCAGCCGCGGUAAUUCCAGCUCCAAUAGCGUAUAUUAAAGUUGUUGCAGUUAAAAAGCUCGUAGUUGAAUUUCGGGAUCAAUCUAUCGGUCGUGCAAUAGUACGUACUGAUUUUAUUGAUUCCUCCCUUCUGAUGAACUAUGAUGUCAUUAAUUUGGUGUCAUAGGGAAUCAGGACUGUUACUUUGAAAAAAUUAGAGUGUUUAAAGCAGGCUCACGCUUGAAUACAUUAGCAUGGAAUAACGAAAUAGGACGUUUGAUUCUAUUUUGUUGGUUUCUAGGAUCGACGUAAUGAUUAAUAGGGAUAGUUGGGGGCAUUAGUAUUCAAUUGUCAGAGGUGAAAUUCUUGGAUUUAUUGAAGACUAACUACUGCGAAAGCAUUUGCCAAGGAUGUUUUCAUUAAUCAAGAACGAAAGUUAGGGGAUCGAAGACGAUCAGAUACCGUCGUAGUCUUAACCAUAAACUAUGCCGACUAGGGAUCGGAUGAUGUUAAUUUUUUAAUGACUCAUUCGGCGCCUUACGGGAA
Molecule: ribosomal RNA, 542 nt
Filed under: uncultured Glomeromycotina
Lineage: Eukaryota; Fungi; Glomeromycota
Description: SSU rRNA
Rfam family: Eukaryotic small subunit ribosomal RNA
Source: RNAcentral